UCUGGCCAGAUGCCUAAAACCAGUUGUCCAUCACUAGAUGCCUAACUCCUCUUUUUUGGCCCAAGCUCUCAUGAAUUUAUUCUUGGAAAGCUUCCCCCCUCCCCCCGCAAAAAUCUCAUACUAGGUGGAGUUGGACGGUAUUUAUAUAAUAGUCUUUCUUUAUCUACUAUUUUGAUGUGAGAUUUGGAUUUCUUAUUUACUUAAAAAAUAUUCCUCUCAAACUAGUGACCACAAAACUUUAGCUUUUCUACCAAUUUUUUUAUGAUGAAUCAAAUGCUCUAAUACAGCUAUAUGUCUGUCACCAUAUGUCCAACUUAUUGUUAAGUAUGAUAUUUGUAGCGUCCUGACCGUCCACGGCUAAUGAACCUCCCACGCCUGUUCUUUCGGCCAGUGGGCCCCAUUAUGUGAGACAGGCAGUACGUUAAUUUUUUGAAAGCUCUUUGUUUACUGACCUUGCAAUCACCACAUGACAUUUCCCGUGCUUUAGCCUCAUUCGCACGAUAU
Molecule: long non-coding RNA, 504 nt
Filed under: Brassica napus (rape)
Lineage: Eukaryota; Viridiplantae; Streptophyta; Magnoliopsida; Brassicales; Brassicaceae
Description: long non-coding RNA (BNAP_LNC013921)
Source: RNAcentral